GUAUUCAGAUAUCAAUUAAGGUUGUGUAUCAGUGCUUUAAUUACAUAAACGGGGAAAUGUUGAAAUGUGUGAUGUUUCUACUUCUUGCUGGACUUCUGAUUGUUCCGCAUGCCGUGGAAGGAAAAACAUGCUAUAAGAGGAUAUGUUGGUGUAGGGGAAGCUACUGUUGUAAGACAUAUUCCUAUCCGUGUUGGGGAAGAAGGCGCUCACUUGAGGAUGAGGUUCGACUUGAUGACCUAGAAGACUACUAGUUGGUUAAAUUAUCUAUUAAAGCAGUCAGUCAAUAAAAUAAUAAAAUAUU
Long non-coding RNA from Mytilus trossulus (common blue mussel), 301 nucleotides. RefSeq lists it as uncharacterized. The transcript is spliced from 4 exons. The record is from RefSeq and is a predicted model, not a curated record. Lineage: Eukaryota; Metazoa; Mollusca; Bivalvia; Mytilida; Mytilidae.